GACGAACGCUGGCGGCGUGCUUAACACAUGCAAGUCGAACGGUAAGGCCCUUCGGGGUACACGAGUGGCGAACGGGUGAGUAACACGUGGGUGAUCUGCCCUGCACUUCGGGAUAAGCCUGGGAAACUGGGUCUAAUACCGGAUAGGACCACUGCCUGCAUGGGUGGUGGUGGAAAGCUUUUGCGGUGUGGGAUGGGCCCGCGGCCUAUCAGCUUGUUGGUGGGGUGAUGGCCUACCAAGGCGACGACGGGUAGCCGGCGUGAGGGGGUGCCCGGCCACACUGGGACUGAGAUACGGCUCAGACUCCUACGGGAGGCAGCAGUGGGGAAUAUUGCACAAUGGGCGCAAGCCUGAUGCAGCGACGCCGCGUGAGGGAUGACGGCCUUCGGGUUGUAAACCUCUUUCAGCACCGACGAAGCGCAAGUGACGGUAGGUGCAGAAGAAGGACCGGCCAACUACGUGCCAGCAGCCGCCGCCG
This 478-nucleotide ribosomal RNA is filed under the name uncultured bacterium. RNAcentral describes it as "partial 16S ribosomal RNA". It matches the Rfam family "Bacterial small subunit ribosomal RNA", at positions 28 to 523 of the family's 1533-position model. The record is from RNAcentral.